RNAcentral lists this ribosomal RNA (446 nucleotides) under uncultured bacterium. RNAcentral describes it as "bacterial SSU rRNA". It matches the Rfam family "Bacterial small subunit ribosomal RNA", at positions 335 to 800 of the family's 1533-position model. The record is from RNAcentral.
ACUCCUACGGGAGGCAGCAGUGGGAAUAUUGGACAAUGGGGGCAACCCUGAUCCAGCCAUGCCGCGUGAGUGAAGAAGGCCCUAGGGUCGUAAAGCUCUUUCAACUGUGAAGAUAAUGACGGUAGCAGUAGAAGAAACCCGCUAGCUACCCGUGCCAGCAGCCGCGGUAAUACGGAGGGGUUAGCGUUGUUCGGAAUUACUGGGCGUAAAGCGCACGUAGGCGGACUAUUAAGUUAGAGGUGAAAUCCCAGGGCUCAACCCUGGAACUGCCUUUAAUACUGGUAGUCUUGAGUUCGAGAGAGGUGAGUGGAAUUCCGAGUGUAGAGGUGAAAUUCGUAGAUAUUCGGAGGAACACCAGUGGCGAAGGCGGCUCACUGGCUCGAUACUGACGCUGAGGUGCGAAAGUGUGGGGAGCAAACAGGAUUAGAUACCCUGGUAGGCUCUGC